GGUUGCGAUCAUACCAGCACUAAUGCCCCUGAUCCCAUCAGAACUCCGCAGUUAAGCGUGCUUGGGCGAGAGUAGUACUAGGAUGGGUGACCCCCUGGGAAGUCCUCGUGUUGCAACCC
Molecule: ribosomal RNA, 119 nt
Filed under: Helianthus annuus (common sunflower)
Lineage: Eukaryota; Viridiplantae; Streptophyta; Magnoliopsida; Asterales; Asteraceae
Source: RNAcentral